GCCACUAUAGCCAAUAUUUGACAACACUAAUACUCAUAAAUCACAAAUUGCUCAAAUCAUAAACCCUAACUCACACUGGUUAACAAAAAAAACAUUAUAAAAAAAAAUACAAAACGUGUGAUUCAUGAAAUAGACAAGUUGAACAAAUUGAACAAAGAAACAGAACAUCUAAAAUAAAACCCUAAAUUAAUGAACGGUAAAACUAAACAGAAGUGAAAUUGUGAAAGAAGAAGAGUGUUGUACCGAUAUGAGAAGGUAUGCGAGGGAUUUGGCGGUAGCAAUGACAGUUUGAAGAAUGAGAGCUUCGGCUAUGGAGGAAACAAGCAUCGUGUUGUUUGGAAAGGAGAGAGUUGGAAGGUCCGUUGCCGACAUGGUGGUGCUGUGAAUGUUGUGCUUCGUUAGAGAAUCGGCGAGAGUGUGCGGGAAGGUCCCGUUAGGGUUUAUCAUUCAAAUUGAUAUCGCCUCACCAAAUUGUUUCAUUCCACCUCACCUUCGCUCGGGAAACGUUUUUUAUGGCUUAAUCUAUC
This 527-nucleotide long non-coding RNA is filed under the name Trifolium pratense (red clover). RNAcentral describes it as "long non-coding RNA (TPRA_LNC007335)". The record is from RNAcentral. Lineage: Eukaryota; Viridiplantae; Streptophyta; Magnoliopsida; Fabales; Fabaceae.